ACCCAAAUUUUUAUCCAGGUUGACCUCGGAUCAGGUAGGGAUACCCGCUGAACUUAAGCAUAUCAAUAAGCGGAGGAAAAGAAACCAACAGGGAUUGCCCCAGUAACGGCGAGUGAAGCGGCAAAGAGC
RNAcentral lists this ribosomal RNA (129 nucleotides) under Penicillium commune. Its description in RNAcentral is "partial 28S ribosomal RNA". The stretch from base 21 to 129 matches the Rfam family "Eukaryotic large subunit ribosomal RNA", at positions 1 to 109 of the family's 3401-position model. Lineage: Eukaryota; Fungi; Ascomycota; Eurotiomycetes; Eurotiales; Aspergillaceae. The record is from RNAcentral.